AUUGAACGCUGGCGGCAGGCUUAACACAUGCAAGUCGAGCGAGCGGCGGACGGGUGAGUAAUGUCUGGGAAACUGCCUGAUGGAGGGGGCUAACUACUGGAAACGGUAGCUAAUACCGCAUACCAUCAGAUGUGCCCAGAUGGGAUUAGCUAGUAGGUGGGGUAAUGGCUCACCUAGGCGACGAUCCCUAGCUGGUCUGAGAGGAUGACCAGCAAAACUGGAACUGAGACACGGUCCAGACGCCUACGUGAGGCAGAAGUGGGGAAGAUUGCACAAUGGGCGCAAGCUUGAUGCAGCCAUGAGGCGUGUGUGAAGAAGGCCUUCGGGUUGUAAAGCACUCUAAGCGAGGAGGCGUUACUCGCAGAAGAAGCACCGGCUAACUCCGUGCCAGCAGCAGCGGUAAGUC
This 406-nucleotide ribosomal RNA is filed under the name uncultured bacterium. Its description in RNAcentral is "partial 16S ribosomal RNA". It matches the Rfam family "Bacterial small subunit ribosomal RNA", at positions 30 to 526 of the family's 1533-position model. The record is from RNAcentral.